UGGGGAAUAUUGCACAAUGGGCGCAAGCCUGAUGCAGCGACGCCGCGUGAGGGAUGGAGGCCUUCGGGUUGUAAACCUCUUUCGCCAGUGAAGCAGGCCAUCUUCUUUGUGGGGUGGUUGACGGUAGCUGGAUAAGAAGCGCCGGCUAACUACGUGCCAGCAGCCGCGGUAAUACGUAGGGCGCGAGCGUUGUCCGGAAUUAUUGGGCGUAAAGAGCUCGUAGGCGGCUGGUCGCGUCUGUCGUGAAAUCCCCGGCUUAACUGGGGGCUUGCGGUGGGUACGGGCCGGCUUGAGUGCGGUAGGGGAGACUGGAAUUCCUGGUGUAGCGGUGGAAUGCGCAGAUAUCAGGAGGAACACCGGUGGCGAAGGCGGGUCUCUGGGCCGUUACUGACGCUGAGGAGCGAAAGCGUGGGGAGCGAACAGG
RNAcentral lists this ribosomal RNA (424 nucleotides) under bacterium. RNAcentral describes it as "partial 16S ribosomal RNA". It matches the Rfam family "Bacterial small subunit ribosomal RNA", at positions 355 to 776 of the family's 1533-position model. The record is from RNAcentral.